This is a non-coding RNA of Stegodyphus mimosarum, 73 nucleotides long. The record is from Rfam. Lineage: Eukaryota; Metazoa; Arthropoda; Arachnida; Araneae; Eresidae.
GCCUUCGUGGUGUAGUGGUCAGCACGCUCGACGCGUAACCGAGAGGUCCGUGGUUCGAUUCCCGGCGAGGGCA